AAGGAGCACCUGGCCCCUCCGGGGGUCCAGACGCCAGAACGCGAGCGAAUGUCUCGCGCUGGUCGCUCAUGGGUGGAACGUUGAUUAUUCGGCACGGUCGGUAUGGGUGAGAGCGCUAGUACUGCUUCGGCGUGGAACGCGAAGCUCAUCAACUGACCGGGUCGGGCACGCUGUUGGGUGUCUGAGGGUGCGAGCGUUGCUCGCCCUUCACGAUGCCGACCCCGGUGAAGAUCCGCGUUGAGCGGGUUGUGACGGGUGGUUGGUCGUUG
RNAcentral lists this unclassified non-coding RNA (269 nucleotides) under Streptomyces neyagawaensis. Its description in RNAcentral is "partial 16S-23S ribosomal RNA intergenic spacer". The record is from RNAcentral. Lineage: Bacteria; Bacillati; Actinomycetota; Actinomycetes; Kitasatosporales; Streptomycetaceae.